RNAcentral lists this ribosomal RNA (484 nucleotides) under uncultured bacterium. Its description in RNAcentral is "partial 16S ribosomal RNA". It matches the Rfam family "Bacterial small subunit ribosomal RNA", at positions 30 to 507 of the family's 1533-position model. The record is from RNAcentral.
AUUGAACGCUGGCGGCAGGCCUAACACAUGCAAGUCGAGCGGAUGAAGGGAGCUUGCUCCUGGAUUCAGCGGCGGACGGGCGAGUAAUGCCUAGGAAGCUGCCUUGUAUUGGGGGAUAACGUCCGGAAACGGGCGCGAAUAUCGCAUACGUCCUGAUGUAGAAAGGCGGGGAUCUUCGGACCUCACGCUAUCAGAUGAGCCUAAGUCGGAUUAGCUAGUUGGUAGGGUAAAGGCCUACCAAGGCGACGAUCCGUAACUGGUCUGAGAGGAUGAUCAGUCACACUGGAACUGAGACACGGUCCAGACUCCUACGGGAGGCAGCAGUGGGGAAUAUUGGACAAUGGGCGAAAGCCUGAUCCAGCCAUGCCGCGUGUGUGAAGAAGGUCUUCGGAUUGUAAAGCACUGUUAGUUGGGAAGAAGAACAGUGAAUGAAUACAUUCAUGUCUUGACGUUACCUAAAGAAUAAGCACCGGCUAACUACGUG